GAUCAGGCCCAGCCCUCUGGCCCCACACCCUACCGCCCCAGCUGGAGGGUGAGGAGAGACUGGGCUUGGGUGUGGGAAUCAGGGGUGUAAAGGGGCCUGCU
Molecule: microRNA precursor, 101 nt
Filed under: Cebus imitator (Panamanian white-faced capuchin)
Lineage: Eukaryota; Metazoa; Chordata; Mammalia; Primates; Cebidae
Description: miRNA (ENSCCAG00000005165.1)
Source: RNAcentral